This 358-nucleotide unclassified non-coding RNA is filed under the name soil metagenome. RNAcentral's name for it is "partial contains 5.8S ribosomal RNA, internal transcribed spacer 2, and large subunit ribosomal RNA". The stretch from base 1 to 120 matches the Rfam family "5.8S ribosomal RNA", at positions 35 to 154 of the family's 154-position model. The record is from RNAcentral.
GAUGAAGAACGUAGCGAAAUGCGAUAAGUACUGUGAAUUGCAGAAUUCAGUGAAUCAUCGAAUCUUUGAACGCACAUUGCGCCCGUCAGUAUUCUGGCGGGCAUGCCUGUUCGAGCGUCAUUACGCCCCUCAAGUCCCCUGUGGACUUGGUGUUGGGGAUCGGCGAGGCUGGUUUUCCAGCACAGCCGUCCCUUAAAUUAAUUGGCGGUCUCGCCGUGGCCCUCCUCUGCGCAGUAGUAAAACACUCGCAACAGGAGCCCGGCGCGGUCCACUGCCGUAAAACCCCCCAACUUUUUAUAGUUGACCUCGAAUCAGGUAGGACUACCCGCUGAACUUAAGCAUAUCAAUAAGCGGAGGA